Non-coding RNA from Camelina sativa (false flax), 1201 nucleotides. The record is from RefSeq and is a predicted model, not a curated record. NCBI's taxonomy places the organism in Eukaryota, Viridiplantae, Streptophyta, Magnoliopsida, Brassicales, Brassicaceae.
CAGAUCGUCGAGGUAAUAGGAUUUCUCUGUUGAAUCUUUCUUCUCUGCCUUUCAUCUUUUGGUUUCUUCUGAUUUUCUCAAGAGAGGAUCCUGAUCUGGAUAACAGGAUUGGAGCAGCUACUGCAGUCGAAGUCGGAGCCACUGGAAUUUCAUACACAUUUGCUCCUCGCAUUGCAGUAAAGUUUCUGUAUUCUGGAUCUUAUAAGUUUUCACCUUGUUUGUAGAGAUACCAGAUGGGGGUAGGUGUUAUGAGAGCUACAGCGAGGAUCACAAAGUUGUGGAAGACAUGACAUAUGUCUUACUUGGUUUACACAAGGAGAGCCUCCUUCCAACUAUAAGAAAUUAAGCAUGGCUUUCCAUUCGUUGGUGGCAGGGAUAAAGUUGCAAACAUGUGCCAAGCAUUACAUGGGAGAUGGUGGGACAAACCCGAGGAAAAAAUGAGAAUAACACGGUGACUUAUUUACAUGGUCUUCUUAGUGUUCGCAUGCCUGCUUAUGCUGAUGCAGUUUACAAAGGUGUUUCCAUAGUGAUUGUUUCAUAUUCAAGCUGGAAUGGUGAGAAGAUGCAUGCAAAUACUGAGCUAUCACAGGUAAUUUGAUUCUAAUUGUCAUGAAACUAGUCCUAAUAACUAUAAUUGUCUUGAGACAGGUUCAAAAUGCUAUUGGAUUCCUGAAAAUGAUCGGAGCAGAACACUGGAUGAGAAGGAAAAUCUAAAGGAUCUUGGGAAAAUCAUUGAUUCUCCCCGUUGAUCCCAAGCUGCCAUCUUCCGCUGCUUUGACCCGAUCCUGACAAUUGUAUCUAUCAUGCAUGGCUCAGUGUCAGAGAUCCGUUCCUUCUACCUCAAGACAAAAAGGACGUACGUAAGUACAAAAGGAUUCAUGAUUCAUUUUUAUGAGUUAGGUUCAAGGAACUUCUUGUCAGCCCAGACGCUUCAGGCGACGAUAUAUUCUCUGACAUUUAACAUCAGAAAACUAAGAGAAUGUGUGUCUGUGGUCCCGAUACUGGCCCCAACAGAUUGAGCUCGUCCCAGAAGAGAAAAAAUUGGUGGAGCUUUGGGGACAAGAGUGACCCCUUCAAUUCUGGUGUUAUUUAUGUCAAAAGGAAGGUAGGAGCUUGUUCGUAUGUUGAUGAUCCAGUUGGGUCUCAGUCAGUCAGUGCUUUCAGGAGCAAUGCAUAAGGUUUUUGGUUUAAGAACUCUGGG